Molecule: long non-coding RNA, 305 nt
Filed under: Sitophilus oryzae (rice weevil)
Lineage: Eukaryota; Metazoa; Arthropoda; Insecta; Coleoptera; Curculionidae
Description: uncharacterized LOC115876444, transcript variant X2
Source: RNAcentral
CCGUCGACGGUACCGUUAUCUGCGGCUGAUAACGCAACACGGGUGCGAGUCGCGUAAUGGCCGCGGCCCGAACAAAUGGAACCGACUGUCAACCUUGUCGUCGGGCCCCGAUUAUUUCCGAAUAAAUUAGAAAUAAUGUGUAAAUGGGUUAACGAAACGGUUGGCGGGCUGCACUGCUGGUGUCACCGUUUUGUUAUAAGACUGUGUAAUGGAGGACAAAGUAGAGGACCGGAGUAGAGGACUCUAUACAUCAAUAAGUCCAUAUCUCUAAGUUGGCGCAGAAUUCCAGUAAGGUUCUUCUAGAU